RNAcentral lists this ribosomal RNA (253 nucleotides) under uncultured bacterium. RNAcentral's name for it is "partial 16S ribosomal RNA". It matches the Rfam family "Bacterial small subunit ribosomal RNA", at positions 524 to 776 of the family's 1533-position model. The record is from RNAcentral.
UACGAAGGGGGCUAGCGUUGUUCGGAAUUACUGGGCGUAAAGGGCGCGUAGGCGGUUAGACAAGUCAGGCGUGAAAGCCCCGGGCUCAACCCGGGAAUAGCGUUUGAGACUGUCUUUCUAGAGUUCGGGAGAGGUAAGUGGAAUUCCCAGUGUAGCAGUGAAAUGCGUAGAUAUUGGGAAGAACACCAGUGGCGAAGGCGGCUUACUGGACCGAUACUGACGCUGAGGCGCGAAAGCGUGGGGAGCAAACAGG